GCACUGCAAGCUAGUGAACAUCUGUGAGCCAUUACACAGCUGAAAUGACAUCACCAUGCAGCAGUUUAUACAAUUCAGAGCCUCAAGAUUGGAGCACAAAUAUUGGAAUGUUCUGAGAAGAGCUCGGGGAAACAUGGAGUCUACAAGAAGGACAGGUUGGUCAGCACUGUCCAUAGAUGAGUCAUCUGGAUUCGAUGUAAACAUGGGCACUGUGGGCACUGGAGGAAAACAGUCUUGUCAGGUCCAAUGUGCAAGAUAGACCUACUGAGUGAGUCAUAGAUCUUAUGUUCUGAAAGUUGGUGUCUGAUCGAAACCCCAGCUGAGUAAAAACUGAGUGGAAAAAUCAAUUAAUAAAGCAGCAGAAGGGCUUAUGAUUGGUGAAAUCAGUGACUGGGAUAUUUAGUGAGAAACUUAGACUGCUGCAAUAUUACUUAAAUUUCAAACAAUGUAAAAGAUACUGUAAUCUGUAACUACAGAAAGAUGGGACAGAUUAUAGUAGAUGCUAGAACUGAUACAAUUAAGGGAUGUAGAAAUAUUUUCUGUACUGUUCAUGAGCAUCAUGGGAAAACACCUAGCAGGUCUUUGAAAUCCAAAUGUAUAGAUUCUAAGAAUUCAUAAUGUUAUAGUUUUGGAACAGUUGAAGCACUUUAGUGGGUCUAUGUGGUGUUACUAUUAAAUAACAAUGAUUGUGCUAUAGAAAUUCAAUGCGUUUAUAAACUGGUGCUGAGUGUAAAAGACAAAACUAUUGUAAUUCUUGGGUUUACCAAUAAUAUUAAGGACUAUGCUUCCUGGACCCUUAAUUAUUUAAGUCAAGAGUAUGAUACCCUAAUUGAUAUUACAAGAUCAAACUGCAGAAAAUAAGAAGGAUCAAUUUUUUAAUGUAAGUGUGAAGUAAGAUUUAAAGGCCCAGCAGUUAACCUGACCUGACCUGAUCCUCAGCUUCUGUCUGAACUGCGUUUUCAGUAGUUCAACCCUUCAAGUUAACAGAAUAAAAUUUGCUUGCCAUUUCUUCACAAUUAGUUUUACUGAAAUCAAUAAGAUAAGUCUCUGAAUAUGACCUAGUGAAUUAAAUUCAGGUUGGUGGAAUCUGGCUAUUAACAAUGGAGACACUAUCACAAUCAGAUACAUACAACAGCUACUUGUAGAAUUGAUAUAGUGAGUGUUAGUAAUUACCAAAGAAGAAUUAUCAUGGGGCAGGAAGCAGCCUGCAUGCAUUAGUGUUUCCAAUCUGCAUAUCUGCAUAUCACAGCUUAGCUGGAUUGCAGUAAAGUACACUUUAAGAAUUAGAUCUUUUAAGCAAAAUUUUAUGCUUAUAAGUCCAUAAGUAUCAGAUCUUGGAUAAUAUUUUGCAUGGACACACCUGAUUGUUUGAAGUUUUUCAGUGUCUUAACAUGCACAAACACAUGCCAUUUCAGUUAUUAAGCUCUUUUUGAAAGCAAAAGAAAAAUGAAGUUUGCAUUUCAGCUGGGCUUUUCCAGGUGACUCAUUUCCUUUUGCAACUAUGCAAUAGGCAGUCUACAGUACGUCAGUAAGUGUCUGCUCACAUACACAAAGAAGAAGCCAUGAUAUGGUAACAAUAGCAUGCCUUUGACAAAAGGUAUAAAACCACCUUAGAAUGGACUAGACACACUUUUAAAAAAAAUCUGCCCUAAAUGGAAGCAUUUAUAUAUUUUUUAAUCUUAUUUUCCUUUGUCAUAAGAUAAUGAUUUGUUGAUAACAAAUAGAAAUGCCACUCUUCAUUUUAGACUCAAUCCCUUGCUUUUCUGGAUUAAAAUCUGACUGAGUUUACUGUAGUUCACACUUCAGAAAUAUCAAUAUUAGAAGACUCCCAGUGCAAUGCUGUUCAUUUUGGUAAAGGGAUUUUCCUUGACUAGAUUUUUUUUUUCAAACAAAUGUAUGUAGGUAUCUCCCAUAUUCCAUAUUUAAAAGUGUUGCCCUACUUUCAUGUAAAUAAAGUGUGAGCAGUAUGACCUGUUAGGUGGACAUGUAAGUACAAAUUUGCUAAAGCCUCACUUAUUUACCCUUAGAAAUGCAUGUUAAGUAUAUACACUAAACCCAGAUAGCACUAUAUAUUUUUGGGAAAAGAGUAUCUUUUGGUUGGAUCCAUGAAAAUUGCUUAAGUCAAUAGGGUAAUACAGUUCUAUACCUAUUAUUUCUAGGUGCAUCCAUAAGCUAAACAAUAACCAUCAUCUCCAGCCAAUGAGUAAAUAUGGAAGCUGAGGGUUUUGACCUCAUCUGGAUCUUUCCCAGUGUUUGGAGGUGGUCUGUUCAAAAAGAUUCCAUGACACUGAUCUCUUUGUGAUUUAUCAGACAGCUAGGUCAAUAAAUAGGUCUUUACUGUUUUUUCCACAGCUGUAAAAUAAUCAAUGGACUCCUUUGAGAGUUAAUUAUCAAAUCUUUUGAGUUUUUCUAUCGAGGAACACACAUUAUCUUUCCUUUUAGUAAAUUCCAUUUCAGUAUACUUUAACAAAGACUAUCUAAUGGCAAGAGUUCUGGCUCACAUGAAGCAGUUCAUUUAAAUAAAAUGUUAACUCUGGAGACCGGUUCCUUCUCAAUAAUUUUUUUCUCUGUCUUUUAUCAGUAUAUAUUGUCAUAGUUAUGAAAUCUGUUUCUCUUUAUAAAAAGAUUUUGGAGCAAUUGCCAUGCCCAAUGAAUCCACCAACUGACAAAGAAUAAGAUUCUUCUGUAUGACUUUUGUUGAUGUGGAUAAUCAAGGUACAGUAGUAUGUGAUAAAUGGAUCCAGAUUUGUAAUUUUUCUGCCUGUAUCCUCCUUGCCCACACACCCAGCUUUUGUGCUGCUAUUGCCUCCCCAUGCUAGUAGCCAUAUUCUAUCCCAGGUGAGGUGAUUCAUUUAACAUUAGAUACAAACCAGCAGAUACAUCUCCAUCAUUAGUUGGAACACGUGCUUUCUGAUGCUCUGUGAAAGCAAGGUAAUAUGGAAGGCUCCAGUGAUUGCCAAGAGAACUCCCUUUAAACAUCUGUCAAAAGCAGAAGUAAUCAGAGAACACCUAAAAGACCAUAUCAUAGAAUGGUUCGUGCUGGAAGGGACCUUACAGACCAUGUCGUUCCAAAGCUCCUGCUGCGGGCAGGGACAGCUUCCACUAGACCAGACUGCUAAAAGCUCCAUCCAACCUUCAGGUGCUGGAAGGAUUCUACAAGGUCUCUCCAGAGCCUUUGCUUCUCCAGGCCGAACAACCCCAGCUCUCUUAGCCUGUCUUGGCUUUGUGGGCUGCAAGCCCACGUUGCCAACUCAUGCCAUGCUUCUUAUCCACCAACACCCCCAAGUACUACUCCUCAAGGCUGCUUUUGCAGCUGGACUCUGACCAGCCUGGAUUUGUGCUUGUGAUUGCCCUGACUCAAGUUCAGGACCUGAGUUUCUGGCUACCAAGGCCAGGCAAUGACCUUAAGCUUGCAAAAACCCCCAGAAUACAUCCAAACUCUUUUCUUACUCUCUUUCUGUUAAUUUCUGUACACUAUAUUAUUUCAACUAGGAUAUUCCUUCUAUAAAUUACAUAUUUAAAAUUAUUCUAUUAACUAUUGAAAAUAUAAAUAAUAAUAAAGUGAACAUUUUGCCUGCAUGCGAUAUCUUCAAUGUUUAAUGAUGUAACGGAAUUCAAGGAACCCCCAAAUCCUAACACCUGGUCUCUCUUGGACUGUAACUUCCCUAUUUUGAUUUAUUCAUGCUUGCACUGACGUUGUUAUUAGUAACUCUUCUCCCAGACUCCUAAGUUGUGAUUAGAUUCCCUAAACAACAACUCAAAAAAGGUGAGGGUGUUUACUGGAGAUUAUGUCAUAAAUAUUAUAUACUGCUUUCUACAAAAACCUUCUAUGAAGAUUAUUUUUUGCAAUUCUUAUACUACCUUUUAAAACACAAAUAAUACACACAUAGAGAUCAUUUAUACUGGACAGAUUGAACUACAACAAAUGAUUACUUGUCUUAUUUUCCCUACAGAAUAUGUGAAGUGAUAUAAUCAUAAAGCAACUGUUCCACAUACUGCCAAAAAUAAUCAAAACAACUGCCACAUAAUACAUGUGCACACAACGUGGAGACACACAGAAAGGUAGAAUUUUAUGCUUUGGUCAUGGUAGAGAAGACAAAUCUCACUAUUUGUCAUGGAAUAAUGGGAACCACUCAGGCAGAGAAUGAACAACAACGUAAUCAAGUAGAUGCCAUAAAUUCCUCUUGACAGAGAGCCUCCUCAUAUAUUACUGGGUUAAGUCACAGUCCACAUUUGCUGUGCCUGCUAAAACUGUGGGCUGGGUGUAAAUUGCAGUUGAUGUUAAAUAAGAGAGAGCAAUCCAAAUUAAACAGAUGGCUCAAAUUCAAAAUACCCACUAUAAACCAUACUUACUAUUACAGAGUCCUAUGUACAACACUUUUUUAAGCUGUGUGUACAGAAUUGCACGUCAAAUUGAAUCCAAGCACUGUAUAUAUAGCAACGAAUGAAAUGUUAGGUUUUCUAACAAACAAAUAAAGAUUCUUAAAAUCAAUUGUAUUUCCUUUGAGAUUUUGAUUAACAGACCUCCACUCACCACCACCCCCAACUGCCUUGGGAUGACCAGGGAAGUUCAAUGAUUUCUAGCUGCUGAGUUUCUCUUUUGUUUUGAGGAGUCUGGGAUAGUAGCAGGGAUGAAGCCAUCUCUAUUUUCAGCUCCCUUAACACUUGGUGUUCAAUAAGCUCACAAACCAUUUUUGGUGAAAAAUGUGUUCCAAGAGGGAACAAAUCAGCUCUUUCUGGUUUGGUCUGCUCAUACACUUUCUAAUCCUCCUGCACAGAAAAACUUUACUUUGGAUGCUUACAAUUCUGUCCUUACCAAAGACUGAAAUUAAUAUCACUGGCAAUGUUGGGGGAUAUUAUUUGCUAUACUAUAGGGUCCUAGUACCAAGGGCCUAGAGAAGGGAACCAAAGAGUUCCCUUCUACUACAGGUAGUAAGAAGAACAAAAAGAAAGUUAAAUACGUCAGAGGCAAAAAAACUCCCCAAAAACCAAACCCAACAUUAUUAUAAAAGAUGCUAUCUCUCUGUUUCUAUUUCAAACACACAUUAAAAGCAAUCUAGUGCUUAUACUGUGUAGUAUCUAUUUCUUCACUUCUCACUUAUUCAGACUAAGUUUAAUUAUGCUUGCAUUACAUUCCCCGUCUAGAUCCCCAGUGCCACAUAGUUUUGCUUUCAAAAAAGUUUUAUGUUGAAGUGGAAUAGGACACUGACUUGUAAAAUGCUGGGAAAUGCACAUCAGGAGGAUGCAUUUGUGGACAGCUGAGCAACUGGUCAGUAGAAUGAACACAUUACCACAAGACUACUGGGAAUUAGUGAGAGAACUAGAAAGCACCAGAACAGGGGAAAAACUAGUUUUGUAUUGGAUCUGAUAUAUUUCAGACAGAUGAAAUAAAACCUAUAAAAAAAUCUCAAGAGACUGCCUAGUUUGUUUAAAGGCUAAAUUUUAACCUCAAGUCAGAAAUCUAUAUUAUUACACCAGGGAAUAUUUAUCAAAUUCACAUAAAAGGAAACUGUGAUGUUCUGUUCUCUUUUAAAAAUCUGUAUUCGGAAGACUUUUUUUGGUACUAGGUGUUCUCCAGUCAUAACGGUUAUGUAUCUUGCAACCAGUUUGUUUGGAGUAGAGGACAGAUUUGGAUGUCUUCACACUGCAAGUGAUGGGAGUGUAAAAUCCUGCGACUAUGUCUGAUAACUAGUCUUCCAGUUCAUACCUCUUGCAUUGCGCAGAUAUGAAUCUGCUACCCUACUAAUGUCUUAAAAAUUUUACCCACUGACUAUUCCAAAAUACAGCUUUUCUUUGUGAAGCAAUGCAUUAGAUCUGUCAAAUUUGCUCUACAGCUGUCAAAUCAGAGAGUGCACCUAAAUCCCACUAUCUCUUAUCAUUCACGAUGUCACUUAUCAUGCUUUAGAUCACAAUCAAUCAGUAAAUUCCCUCCAAAAGAAUGCUCCUGGCCCAAACUAAAACACAACAGGGCAUAGGUACCUUAACUCACUAGCACAAACUUAACUAAAACUUUCUGUCUCUCUGGGAACUGCAACUCCCAUUUUAAAAUUCUGGUUGUUGAAUAACAUUCAGUUGCACACUGCAAAAAUAAAUUCUAAUUUCCUCAUGUUGAAAUUUAAAGUGAUUUAGCACCAACAAGAAAGCUUAAAAUUUAUACUCUUCCAUUUUCACAAUUACACAAUUUUGCUGAAACAAAAAUAGCUUACCUUACUGUAUAGUCAAAUAGAAAAGUUAUACAGAUAUUCAAAAAUAGACAGAAUAAGUUUAAAAUACAGAUCAAAAUUGUCACAUCAAAGGAUUCAGUAAUACUUUUUGUUUAAAAAAAAGUCUCAUCCCAUAAAAUUUUGCUAGUUCAAAGACUCAUAAUUAUGAAAGCAUAAGCAUUAGUGCUAGGCCUAUUUAGGAUAAGCCCCUUCAGCCAAACAUCAUGAAUACUGUGGUAGGUAAAAAUAGACAAGGCAGAAAAACCUCACAAUUAUAAUAAGAAUGGCAGAUAAGUUUUUAAAUUUUUUUCAGCAAAUCAGACUGCUGAAUUAGGGGGAAACUUUAGGCACCUGCCUUUUACACCAAGCUUGUUAAUCACACAAAUACUAUUUUGGUAGAUGGAAUCAAAAAAACACCUAAGCAUCAAAUAAGAAUCAGCCUCUAUAGUUCUUGAGGAUCCUGAUGUGCAUAAAACCAAAAGUAGAAUGUAUCUCUGGAAUAUAUUAAAGAAAAAAAAGGAUGAAGGAAAAGAAAACAAAAGUUAAGCUCCUGUACCCUGACAUCUGUUCUUGAACUCCUUUCUCUUUUUCUGUCUCCCAGGAAUUCCUUGUGUUGGUUUCUGUGAUAUUCAGAAGUGAUAUUCAGAAGUACAAAAAGGUUGCUUCGUAUUUUAACAGACUAGUUACUAGAUUCAGUGAGGUUUAAUUGCUUGUGGGAUGGUUUUUUGUUUUAAAUUUUGUUUUCCUCCUGGAAUUGCAGAGGUGUGACAUUAAGAAGUACAUCUGUACACAAAGUAAAUAAAUUUCUCAAGUGACUACACUUUUAUUUGUUGGCACUGUAACAUUAAUUAAAAGUGUACCUAUAAUUAAAAAAACCAUAUAUUUUCAGCUAUUAGGUCUAUGAAUUCCUCCUGUGAUGUGCUUUAGCAACAGUAAGGUGACAUCAUUAGAGGUCACAGCCAGAACUCAGAGUUUGACAGAUGGGCUAUUAAUUUAGCUACCCCUCUUCAGAGAACACAAAAGUUUCUUAAGUUUUUACAACAACGCUUCCUUAAAACAGAGGUC
This is a long non-coding RNA of Myiozetetes cayanensis, 7268 nucleotides long. RefSeq lists it as uncharacterized. Lineage: Eukaryota; Metazoa; Chordata; Aves; Passeriformes; Tyrannidae. The transcript has 3 exons. The record is from RefSeq and is a predicted model, not a curated record.